UACGUAGGGUGCGAGCGUUAAUCGGAAUUACUGGGCGUAAAGCGUGCGCAGGCGGUUUUGUAAGCCAGAUGUGAAAGCCCCGGGCUUAACCUGGGAAUGGCAUUUGGGACUGCAAGGCUUGAGUGCGGCAGAGGAGACUGGAAUUCCUGGUGUAGCAGUGAAAUGCGCAGAUAUCAGGAGGAACACCGAUGGCGAAGGCAGGUCUCUGGGCCAUAACUGACGCUGAGAAGCGAAAGCAUGGGGAGCGAACAGG
RNAcentral lists this ribosomal RNA (253 nucleotides) under uncultured bacterium. Its description in RNAcentral is "partial 16S ribosomal RNA". It matches the Rfam family "Bacterial small subunit ribosomal RNA", at positions 524 to 776 of the family's 1533-position model. The record is from RNAcentral.